Molecule: ribosomal RNA, 253 nt
Filed under: uncultured bacterium
Lineage: Bacteria
Description: partial 16S ribosomal RNA
Rfam family: Bacterial small subunit ribosomal RNA
Source: RNAcentral
GACAGAGGUGCCAAGCGUUAGGCGGAAUCACUGGGCUUAAAGCGGGUGUAGGCGGGCGAUCAAGUACCUUGGGAAAUCCCACGGCUCAACCGUGGAACUGCUGGGUAUACUGGUUGUCUUGAGCCAGCUAGGGGCGAGCGGAACAGACGGUGGAGCGGUGAAAUGCGUAGAUAUCGUCUGGAACGCCGAAGGUGAAAACAGCUCGCUGGGGCUGCGCUGACGCUGAGACACUAAAGCCAGGGGAGCGAACGGG